AUACGGAGGGUGCAAGCGUUAUUCGGAAUCACUGGGCGUAAAGGACGCGUAGGCGGGUUGGCAAGUCAGAUGUGAAAUCCUACAGCUUAACUGUAGAACUGCAUUUGAAACUGCUAACCUAGAGUAUGGGAGGGGGAGAUGGAAUUAGUGGUGUAGGGGUAAAAUCCGUAGAUAUCACUAGGAAUACCGAAAGCGAAGGCGAUCUCCUGGAACAUAACUGACGCUAAGGCGUGAAAGCGUGGGGAGCAAACAGGAUUAGAUACCCCUGUAGUCC
This 274-nucleotide ribosomal RNA is filed under the name uncultured bacterium. RNAcentral describes it as "partial 16S ribosomal RNA". It matches the Rfam family "Bacterial small subunit ribosomal RNA", at positions 523 to 796 of the family's 1533-position model. The record is from RNAcentral.